RNAcentral lists this long non-coding RNA (843 nucleotides) under Vulpes vulpes (red fox). RNAcentral describes it as "lncRNA (ENSVVUG00000018546.1)". The record is from RNAcentral. Lineage: Eukaryota; Metazoa; Chordata; Mammalia; Carnivora; Canidae.
UGUGUACAUUGUAAGAUAUAAAAAUCUUAAGAUAUUUGAUUAUCUUUUUUUGCCUAUCUUUUUUUAAGAUAUUUGAUUACCUUCUUUUUGUCUUUCUCAAUGCCACAUACAGUCCUAUGUAAGAACAUGCCACCAUUAUCAAAAACAUUUGUCAAGCUUCAUAUGUACGUAGUUAUAUACUACUGAUGUGGGGAAGACUUAGUGAAAGACAUAGCCUAAGACAGAAAAAUGUCUUAAAUGGCUUACCUGUGUGGGACCCAGGAGCUGGACAAGACUGCUAUCUGGUAGUUGCUUCCCUACUGCGAGACAUCUGAGUUGAAGUUCCAUGCCAGAACACACUUGCAGUCUUUUCUGGUCUUUAUACCAAUAGUUGCACUCCAGAUGUUAAUAGAUAAUAAGAGAAAUGCCUUUAUUCUGUGUUCAAGUACUUUAGAAAGCAUUAAAGUGAGAUAAAGUUAAUUGUCUCUCUAGAAGAUAUAUGACUUGGCCAGAAAAAGAAUAUAACUUUUUUCAAUUUGGAGCCAUGUGGUCCAAUUAAACAUUACUUAGUAGGUAGCUGGAGGGAUUGGGAUUUUUGCAUUUAAUUUCUGACACCUCAAGGAAGGGCACAAAGUUGCUUUUUAGUGGAGAAGAUUCCUUAAAGUUUGUAAACAAUUGAAUGUCUUUUUCAAGGUCUUUAUGCAUCACUUCAAUUAUCUAUAAUUUUUUAUCUGUCACUUAUUAUAUCUGAGGGUAAUUUGAAUUAGUCUACAUUUGUCAACAUUAAAUUUCAUUUGCCACAUGUCAGCCUAUUUAAGAAGCAAAUUCAAAAUGUAUUAGAAUGCAUUAGAUGUAAGUUUGAAC